RNAcentral lists this ribosomal RNA (304 nucleotides) under uncultured bacterium. RNAcentral describes it as "partial 16S ribosomal RNA". It matches the Rfam family "Bacterial small subunit ribosomal RNA", at positions 506 to 807 of the family's 1533-position model. The record is from RNAcentral.
CAGCAGCCGCCGCGGUAAUACGAAGGGUGCAAGCGUUAAUCGGAAUUACUGGGCGUAAAGCGUGCGUAGGCGGUGAGUUAAGUCUGCUGUGAAAUCCCCGGGCUCAACCUGGGAAUGGCAGUGGAUACUGGCUCGCUAGAGUGUGUCAGAGGAUGGUGGAAUUCCCGGUGUAGCGGUGAAAUGCGUAGAGAUCGGGAGGAAUACCGAUGGCGAAGGCAGCCAUCUGGCCUAAUACUGACGCUGAGGUACGAAAGCAUGGGGAGCAAACAGGAUUAGAUACCCCAGUAGUCCCUGUCUCUUAUAC